This 408-nucleotide ribosomal RNA is filed under the name uncultured bacterium. RNAcentral describes it as "partial 16S ribosomal RNA". It matches the Rfam family "Bacterial small subunit ribosomal RNA", at positions 28 to 526 of the family's 1533-position model. The record is from RNAcentral.
GACGAACGCUGGCGGCGUGCUUAACACAUGCAAGUCGAACGAAGUGGCGAACGGGUGAGGAAUACGUGGGUACCCUGCCCUCCUUUUUGGGAUAAGCCUUGGAAACGGGGUCUAAUACCGAAUACAGGGGGAUGGGCUCGCGGCCUAUUAGCUUGUUGGUGGGGUGAUGGCCUACCAAGGCGGUGACGGGUAGCCGGCCUGAGAGGGUGACCGGCCACAGUGGGACUGCGAUACGGCCCAGAGUCGUACGGGAGGGGGCAGUGGGGGAUAUUGAACAAUGGGCGAAAGACUGAUGCAGCGAGGCCGCGUAGGGGAUGAAGGCUUUCAGGUUGUAAACCUCUUUCGCUAGCGAACCGGUAGGUGGAGAAGAAGCGACGGCUAACUACGUGCCAGCAGCCGCGGUAAUUC